This 492-nucleotide ribosomal RNA is filed under the name uncultured Alcaligenes sp. RNAcentral's name for it is "bacterial SSU rRNA". It matches the Rfam family "Bacterial small subunit ribosomal RNA", at positions 10 to 492 of the family's 1533-position model. Lineage: Bacteria; Pseudomonadati; Pseudomonadota; Betaproteobacteria; Burkholderiales; Alcaligenaceae. The record is from RNAcentral.
AGUUUGAUCCUGGCUCAGAUUGAACGCUAGCGGGAUGCUUUACACAUGCAAGUCGAACGGCAGCGCGAGAGAGCUUGCUCUCUUGGCGGCGAGUGGCGGACGGGUGAGUAAUAUAUCGGAACGUGCCCAGUAGCGGGGGAUAACUACUCGAAAGAGUGGCUAAUACCGCAUACGCCCUACGGGGGAAAGGGGGGGAUCGCAAGACCUCUCACUAUUGGAGCGGCCGAUAUCGGAUUAGCUAGUUGGUGGGGUAAAGGCUCACCAAGGCAACGAUCCGUAGCUGGUUUGAGAGGACGACCAGCCACACUGGGACUGAGACACGGCCCAGACUCCUACGGGAGGCAGCAGUGGGGAAUUUUGGACAAUGGGGGAAACCCUGAUCCAGCCAUCCCGCGUGUAUGAUGAAGGCCUUCGGGUUGUAAAGUACUUUUGGCAGAGAAGAAAAGGUACCUCCUAAUACGAGGUACUGCUGACGGUAUCUGCAGAAUAGCA